This is a non-coding RNA of Danio rerio (zebrafish), 45 nucleotides long. Lineage: Eukaryota; Metazoa; Chordata; Actinopteri; Cypriniformes; Danionidae. The record is from Rfam.
UCAACGGCUCUUUUAAGAGCCACCCACUCAUUCUGAAGAAAGAGC